RNAcentral lists this ribosomal RNA (253 nucleotides) under uncultured bacterium. Its description in RNAcentral is "partial 16S ribosomal RNA". It matches the Rfam family "Bacterial small subunit ribosomal RNA", at positions 524 to 776 of the family's 1533-position model. The record is from RNAcentral.
UACGGAGGUGGCAAGCGUUGCUCGGAAUCACUGGGCGUAAAGGGCGCGUAGGCGGGGAGGUAAGUCGGGUGUGAAAUCCCUCGGCCCAACCGAGGAACUGCGCCCGAGACUGCUUCUCUUGAGUCCCGGAGAGGAAGAUGGAAUUCCCGGUGUAGCGGUGAAAUGCGUAGAUAUCUGGAGGAACACCGGUGGCGAAGGCGGCAUCCUGGACCGACACUGACGCUGAGGCGCGAAAGCUAGGGGAGCAAACGGG